RNAcentral lists this unclassified non-coding RNA (250 nucleotides) under plant metagenome. Its description in RNAcentral is "partial contains small subunit ribosomal RNA, internal transcribed spacer 1, and 5.8S ribosomal RNA". The stretch from base 194 to 250 matches the Rfam family "5.8S ribosomal RNA", at positions 1 to 54 of the family's 154-position model. The record is from RNAcentral.
GUUGGUGAACCAGCGGAGGGAUCAUUACAGAGUUCAUGCCCUUCGGGGUAGACCUCCCACCCUGUUUAUAUACUAUUGUUGCUUUGGCGGGUUGCCCUCACCAUGGGGCGUCCGGGUUCCGCCCGCGUCUCGCCUGCCAACAGCCCCUUAAUUCUGUGUUCUGUGUCGUCUGAGUACUAUAUAAUAAAGUUAAAACUUUCAACAACGGAUGUCUUGGUUCUGGCAUCGAUGAAGAUCGCAGCAUCUGACU